Misgurnus anguillicaudatus (oriental weatherfish) is the source of this 924-nucleotide long non-coding RNA. RefSeq lists it as uncharacterized. NCBI's taxonomy places the organism in Eukaryota, Metazoa, Chordata, Actinopteri, Cypriniformes, Cobitidae. The record is from RefSeq and is a predicted model, not a curated record.
GUUUAUAAAACUUUUGCCUAGAGUUUAAACUUGUCAGCUAGAUGGCGGCGUUUAAUCUGCAAAAUUUUAAAUGACUAUUAUCUGGGAAAGGUCAUGUAAAUAUGUCAUUUUAUUACGUUCUACAUCUGGGGGAUUGUCUGUUGUUAAAACGGUAAAAGCUCAAACUGCUGAGUUUCCAGUUAAAAGGUUUAAAAGCAAACGAGCUCUUGCUAAAACAAAAGUUAAUACCAGUGCUUCUCAACAUCUGAAGGCAUUAAAUAUGCUACUUGAACAGAGAUGACUUCUCCAUCUGAACAGUCAAUCAAUCUUCACCAGCCCACGUGCCAUCAGCAGCUGGGUUUUGUGUUUGUUUGAACGAAAGCGCCGCUUCAUGAGAGUUUUGAUGAGCUCGAGUGAUAAACGAGGACACAGUUUGGUGAGAAUGUGACUGCUUGACAGUGCAGGUGUAUUUUCCUGCCUGUCGUUGAUCCGGACAACACCAGUGACCCAAGCAGGGUGUGUGACGGAGAGUUUGUGUUGAGUCUCAUCGGAUUUGGGCCACCGGGACUCCACAGAUACAGUCGUUCACUCAAUCACAGAUGAGACGAAUACAAACAUAUUCUUGAAUAAACAUAUUUCAUUCUUUCAUAAAUGUCUGUAUUUUGUGACUAUGUAGUUGUUGCUAGGUUGUUCUGGGUGGUAGCUAAAGUAUUGCUAGAUGGUUGCUAGGGUGUUCUGGGUGGUAGCUAGGGAAUAAGUUGAUGGAUGCUUCUGUAGGGUGUUCAGGGUAAUAGCUAGGGAAUUGCUAGAUGGUUGCUAGGGUGUUCUAGGCAGUAGGGAAUUGCUAGAUUGUUAUUAUGGUGUUUUGGGUGGGGAAUUAUUAGAUGGAUGUUAGGGUGUUUUGGGUGGUAGCUAGGGAAUUUCUAGAUGGUUUUUCUGGGUGCU